CCUACGGGAGGCAGCAGUGAGGAAUAUUGGUCAAUGGGCGUAAGCCUGAACCAGCCAAGUCGCGUGAGGGAUGAAGGUUCUAUGGAUCGUAAACCUUUUUUAUAAGGGAAUAAAGUGCGGGGCGUGUCCCGUUUUGUAUGUACCUUAUGAAUAAGGAUCGGCUAAAUCCGUGCCAGCAGCCGCGGUAAUACGGAGGAUCCGAGCGUUAUCCGGAUUUAUUGGGUUUAAAGGGUGCGUAGGCGACCUUUUAAGUCAGCGGUGAAAGUCUGUGGCUCAACCGUAGAAGUGCCGUUGAAACGGGGAGACUUGAGUAUGUUUGAGGCAGGCGGAAUGCGUGGUGUAGCGGUGAAAUGCGUAGAUAUCACGCGGAACCCCAGUGGCGAAGGCGACCUGCCAGGCCAUGACUGACGCUGAGGCACGAAAGCGUGGGGAGCAAACAGGAUUAGAUACCCCGGUAGUC
This 460-nucleotide ribosomal RNA is filed under the name uncultured bacterium. RNAcentral's name for it is "partial 16S ribosomal RNA". It matches the Rfam family "Bacterial small subunit ribosomal RNA", at positions 338 to 795 of the family's 1533-position model. The record is from RNAcentral.